This 274-nucleotide ribosomal RNA is filed under the name Nitrospira sp. Ga3a. RNAcentral describes it as "partial 16S ribosomal RNA". It matches the Rfam family "Bacterial small subunit ribosomal RNA", at positions 338 to 614 of the family's 1533-position model. Lineage: Bacteria; Pseudomonadati; Nitrospirota; Nitrospiria; Nitrospirales; Nitrospiraceae. The record is from RNAcentral.
CCUACGGGAGGCAGCAGUGAGGAAUAUUGCGCAAUGGGCGAAAGCCUGACGCAGCGACGCCGCGUGGGGGAUGAAGGUCUUCGGAUUGUAAACCCCUUUCGGGAGGGAAGAUGGGACGGGUAACCGUCCGGACGGUACCUCCAGAAGCAGCCACGGCUAACUUCGUGCCAGCAGCCGCGGUAAUACGAAGGUGGCGAGCGUUGUUCGGAUUUACUGGGCGUACAGGGAGCGUAGGCGGUUGGGUAAGCCCUUCGGGAAAUCUCCCGGCUUAACC